GAAAUGCGAUAAGUAAUGUGAAUUGCAGAAUUCAGUGAAUCAUCGAAUCUUUGAACGCACCUUGCGCUCCUUGGUAUUCCGAGGAGCAUGCCUGUUUGAGUGUCAUUAAUUUCUCAACCUCACCGACUUUUGUUGUGUGAAGGCUUGGAUGUGGGGGUUGCAGGGCUCACGUUUGUGGGUCUGCUCCUCUGAAAUGCAUUAGUGGGUUAGUCCCCUAAUCUAUUGGUGUGAUAAUUAUCUACGCCGUUGAUUAGGAUGGCUGUUAAGACCUGCUUCUAACCGUCCUUUCGGACAACUCUUGACAAUUUUGACCUCAAAUCAGGUAAGACUACCCGCUGAACUUAA
This 345-nucleotide ribosomal RNA is filed under the name Coprinopsis sp. 40-693. Its description in RNAcentral is "eukaryotic LSU rRNA". The stretch from base 1 to 105 matches the Rfam family "5.8S ribosomal RNA", at positions 50 to 154 of the family's 154-position model. The record is from RNAcentral. Lineage: Eukaryota; Fungi; Basidiomycota; Agaricomycetes; Agaricales; Psathyrellaceae.